AACCUACGGGUGGCAGCAGUGGGGAAUUUUGGACAAUGGGGGUAACCCUGAUCCAGCCAUUCCGCGUGAGUGAAGAAGGCCUUCGGGUUGUAAAGCUCUUUCAGCUGGAGAGAAACGGUUCGCUCUAACAUAGCGGGCUAAUGACGGUACCAGCAGAAGAAGCACCGGCUAACUACGUGCCAGCAGCCGCGGUAAUACGUAGGGUGCGAGCGUUAAUCGGAAUUACUGGGCGUAAAGCGUGCGCAGGCGGAUUGUUGAGCAAGAUGUGAAAUCCCCGGGCUUAACCUGGGAAUGGCAUUUUGAACUGGCAGUCUAGAGUGCGUCAGAGGGGGGUGGAAUUCCACGUGUAGCAGUGAAAUGCGUAGAGAUGUGGAGGAACACCGAUGGCGAAGGCAGCCCCCUGGGAUGACACUGACGCUCAUGUACGAAAGCGUGGGUAGCAAACAGGAUUAGAUACCCCGGUAGUCUCA
RNAcentral lists this ribosomal RNA (470 nucleotides) under uncultured Thiobacillus sp. RNAcentral describes it as "bacterial SSU rRNA". It matches the Rfam family "Bacterial small subunit ribosomal RNA", at positions 335 to 797 of the family's 1533-position model. The record is from RNAcentral. Lineage: Bacteria; Pseudomonadati; Pseudomonadota; Betaproteobacteria; Nitrosomonadales; Thiobacillaceae.